RNAcentral lists this ribosomal RNA (411 nucleotides) under uncultured bacterium. RNAcentral's name for it is "bacterial SSU rRNA". It matches the Rfam family "Bacterial small subunit ribosomal RNA", at positions 90 to 518 of the family's 1533-position model. The record is from RNAcentral.
GACUAGUGGCGGACGGGUGAGUAACGCGUGGGUAACCUGCCUCAUACAGGGGGAUAACAGUUGGAAACGACUGCUAAGACCGCAUAACCCGCUAGUGUCGCAUGACACGGACGGAAAAUAUUAUAGGUAUGAGAUGGGCCCGCGUCUGAUUAGCUAGUUGGUAAGGUAACGGCUUACCAAGGCGACGAUCAGUAGCCGACUUGAGAGAGUGAUCGGCCACAUUGGGACUGAGGACACGGCCCAAACUCCUACGGGAGGCAGCAGUGGGGAAUAUUGGACAAUGGGGGAAACCCUGAUCCAGCGACGCCCGCGUGAGUGAAGAAGUAUUUCGGUAUGUAAAGCUCUAUCAGCAGGGAAGAUAAUGACAGUACCUGACUAAGAAGCCCCGGCUAACUACGUGCCAGCAGCUGC